UUCCGGUUGAUCCUGCCGGAGGACAUUGCUAUUGGGAUUCGAUUCGGCCAUGCUAGUCGAGCGAGUUCAGACUCGCGGCGAAUAGCUCAGUAACACGUGGCCAAGCUCCCCUUCAGUCAGUGAUACCCUCGGGAAACUGAGGUUAACAGCUGAUACAAAACGCCAGCUGGAAUGCGGCGUUUCAGAAAGACAUCGCUGAAGGAUGCGGCUGCGGCCGAUUAGGUAGACGGUGGGGUAACGGCCCACCGUGCCAGUAAUCGGUACGGGUGAUGAGAGUCAGAGCCCGGAGACGGAAUCUGAGACAAGAUUCCGGGCCCUACGGGGCGCAGCAGGCGCGAAACCUUUACACUGCACGGAAGUGCGAUAGGGGAAUCCCAAGUGCGAGGGCAUAUUAGCCCUCGCUUUUCUCGACUGUAAGGUGGUCGACGAAUAAGAGCUGGGCAAGACCGGUGCCAGCCGCCGCGGUAAUACCGGCAGCUCAAGUGAUGUCCCAUAUUAUUGGGCCUAAAGCGUCCGUAGCUGGCCGACCAAGUCUACCGGGAAAUCCACCCGCCCAACGGGUGGGCGUCCGGUAGAAACUGGCCGGCUUGGAACCGGAAGGCUCAGAGAGUACGUCCGGGGUAGGAGUGAAAUCCCGUAAUCCCGGACGGACUACCGAUGGCGAAAGCACUCUGAGAAGACGGCUUCGACAGUGAGGGACGAAAGCUCGGGUCUCAAACCGGAUUAGAUACCCCGGUAGUC
This 741-nucleotide ribosomal RNA is filed under the name uncultured archaeon. RNAcentral's name for it is "bacterial SSU rRNA". It matches the Rfam family "Archaeal small subunit ribosomal RNA", at positions 1 to 746 of the family's 1478-position model. The record is from RNAcentral.